AGUGAACGCUGGCGGUAGGCCUAACACAUGCAAGUCGAACGGCAGCACAGUAAGAGCUUGCUCUUACGGGUGGCGAGUGGCGGACGGGUGAGGAAUACAUCGGAAUCUACUUUUUCGUGGGGGAUAACGUAGGGAAACUUACGCUAAUACCGCAUACGACCUACGGGUGAAAGCAGGGGAUCUUCGGACCUUGCGCGAUUGAAUGAGCCGAUGUCGGAUUAGCUAGUUGGCGGGGUAAAGGCCCACCAAGGCGACGAUCCGUAGCUGGUCUGAGAGGAUGAUAGGCCACACUGGAACUGAGACACGGUCCAGACGCCUACGGGAGGCAGCAGUGGGGAAUAUUGGACAAUGGGCGCAAGCCUGAUCCAGCCAUACCGCGGGGGUGAAGAAGGCCUUCGGGUUGUAAAGCCCUUUUGUUGGGAAAGAAAAGCAGCAGGUUAAUACCCCGCUGUUCUGACGGUACCCAAAGAAUAAGCACCGGCUAACUUCGUG
RNAcentral lists this ribosomal RNA (492 nucleotides) under uncultured bacterium. Its description in RNAcentral is "partial 16S ribosomal RNA". It matches the Rfam family "Bacterial small subunit ribosomal RNA", at positions 29 to 507 of the family's 1533-position model. The record is from RNAcentral.